Molecule: ribosomal RNA, 109 nt
Organism: Oncorhynchus kisutch (coho salmon)
Lineage: Eukaryota; Metazoa; Chordata; Actinopteri; Salmoniformes; Salmonidae
Source: Ensembl
GCUUACGGCCAUACCAGCCUGAAUACGUCCGAUCUCGGAAGCUAAGCAGGGUCGGGCCUGGUUAGUACUUGGAUGGGAGACCGCCUGGGAAUACCAGGUGCUGUAAGCA